Diabrotica virgifera virgifera (western corn rootworm) is the source of this 851-nucleotide long non-coding RNA. RefSeq lists it as uncharacterized. The transcript has 2 exons. NCBI's taxonomy places the organism in Eukaryota, Metazoa, Arthropoda, Insecta, Coleoptera, Chrysomelidae. The record is from RefSeq and is a predicted model, not a curated record.
AAUAAUACUUUGAUAAUUUGAUUAUUUUCACAUUUAACUUUACUUUAAACUUAACAAUUGUCAUUUAAAUUUAACUUCAGUUUUUCAUAUUAAUUUCAUUAAUUAGUAACCUACAUAUGACAACUUAGUCAUUUUCAAAAAAUUUUAAAUAAUUUUAAUAACACAGAUGUCGCUAGGAACUAUUGUUUCCGUCAGCAGCCUGUCGUUUUUGAAUAUUGUCAGUAACAGCUGUUUGUAAGAAUGGUAGCCAUUUUAUAAAAAACACAUUAAAUGUGAUUUUUUAAACAUUUAAGGGUUUUUACCCUAACCAGUGGUUAUAUCCCUGGGUUUAUUUUAAACUAAAGAAUGUGUUUGUUCGAAGUUUUCUCUUCUUUUGAGGUUUUUACACCUAUAAGACGAUAGCUCUGAUGAUGGCAUAAUAUGCUGAAAGUACUUAGCUGAUUUAAUAAAUUUAUUUACACACUAUCAGUCUUUUGAAAACAUACACCAGUUCCUGUUUAGAUUUAUAUAGAAGUGUGUACAAGUCAAACAGUCUUUUUCUAAUCUUUUAUAAGACUAACAAUUGUAAUGCUUUGUUCUCUAUUUUAAAUUGAAUAUAUUUUAUUCACCACUUCAAACAUUGGGUGCGUUCGGACGACCUCAGCAGUUGACUGUAAGCGCAAAGCGGCUUAGUGGUUGUAUUCAACGGCAAUAGGUAACACUUAGUAAAUGUCACAACAGCUGAUUUCCAGCGGAUAUGUCUGAAUUAUACCGCUUACUCAGCUGUCCAACUGCUGAGGUCAUCGGAACAUACAUAUUUAGUUCCUUUUGCUAUCCUAUGCACGCAAGAUUAAAUAAAAUUCAGUGCUCGA